GUAGCCAUGUGGAUUACUUGUGGAUUAUUGUGAUGUUUUUAUCAGAUGUUUGGACUUUCAUUCUGACGGCACCCAUUCACUGCAGGGUAUCCUGGAUUAAUGCUGAAUUUCUCCAAAUCUGUUUCCAUGAAGAAACAAACUCAUCUUGGAUAGCCUGAGGAAACACUUAUCAACCAUCUCCAGAAAACUACAAGCACUAUCUCGCUCAAGGAAUGUUGACAGAAACAACACAACAGCAUCAGAUAAACAGCUUAGGUCUUCAUACGUGGCCUUACCAGUCCAAUAAGGCAUAAAUAAUAAAGAAACAAAUUCUUCAUACCAACACUGGUUUUCUUUAUCCUCAUGUCUGCUCUGGUGGGCACGUCUGAAGCGCUUGCUGGUUAGCGCAGCCUCCAUUUCUUCAAUCUCACAGCGC
Onychostoma macrolepis is the source of this 415-nucleotide long non-coding RNA. RefSeq lists it as uncharacterized. The record is from RefSeq and is a predicted model, not a curated record. Lineage: Eukaryota; Metazoa; Chordata; Actinopteri; Cypriniformes; Cyprinidae. The transcript has 3 exons.